AGGGCACCACCAGGAGUGGAGCCUGCGGCUUAAUUUGACUCAACACGGGAAAACUCACCCGGCCCGGACACCGUAAGGAUUGACAGACUGAGAGCUCUUUCUUAAUUCGGUGGGUGGUGGUGCAUGGCCGUUCUUAGUUGGUGGAGCGAUUUGUCUGGUUAAUUCCGAUAACGAACGAGACUCUGGCCUAUUAAAUAGACGGUAUAUCGAAAAGUAUAUCGCACUUCUUAGAGGGACAAGCGGCGUCUAGCCGCAUGAAAUAGAGCAAUAACAGGUCUGUGAUGCCCUUAGAUGUCCGGGGCUGCACGCGCGCUACACUGAAAGAAUCAGAGUGCGCUUUGCCUAGUUCGGAAGAACUGGGUAACCCAAGUAAAUUCUUUCGUGCUUGGGAUAGGGAAUUGCAAUUAUUUCCCUUAAACGAGGAAUUCCCAGUAAAUGCGGGUCAUAAGCUCGCGUUGAUUACGUCCCCGCCCUUUGUACACACCGCCCGUCGCUACUACCGAUUGGAUGACUUAGUGA
RNAcentral lists this ribosomal RNA (519 nucleotides) under uncultured eukaryote. Its description in RNAcentral is "SSU rRNA". It matches the Rfam family "Eukaryotic small subunit ribosomal RNA", at positions 1161 to 1704 of the family's 1831-position model. The record is from RNAcentral.